UGGGGAAUAUUGCACAAUGGGCGCAAGCCUGAUGCAGCCAUGCCGCGUGUGUGAAGAAGGCCUUCGGGUUGUAAAGCACUUUCAGCGGGGAGGAAGGCGAUAAGGUUAAUAACCUUGUCGAUUGACGUUACCCGCAGAAGAAGCACCGGCUAACUCCGUGCCAGCAGCCGCGGUAAUACGGAGGGUGCAAGCGUUAAUCGGAAUUACUGGGCGUAAAGCGCACGCAGGCGGUCUGUAAAGUCGGAUGUGAAAUCCCCGGGCUCAACCUGGGAACUGCAUCUGAUACUGGCAAGCUUGAGUCUCGUAGAGGGGGGUAGAAUUCCAGGUGUAGCGGUGAAAUGCGUAGAGAUCUGGAGGAAUACCGGUGGCGAAGGCGGCCCCCUGGACGAAGACUGACGCUCAGGUGCGAAAGCGUGGGGAGCAAACAGG
Molecule: ribosomal RNA, 429 nt
Filed under: Chloroflexota bacterium
Lineage: Bacteria; Bacillati; Chloroflexota
Description: Chloroflexi bacterium partial 16S ribosomal RNA
Rfam family: Bacterial small subunit ribosomal RNA
Source: RNAcentral